GAUGAAGAACGCAGCGAAAUGCGAUAAGUAAUGUGAAUUGCAGAAUUCAGUGAAUCAUCGAAUCUUUGAACGCACAUUGCGCCCCUUGGUAUUCCGGGGGGCAUGCCUGUUCGAGCGUCAUUACAACUCUCAAGCUCUGCUUGGUCUUGGGCGUCACCGGUCCCCGGUGUGCCUUAAAAUCAGUGGCGGCGCCAUCUGGCUCUAAGCGUAGUACAUACUCUCGCUACAGACGUCCGGUGGAUGCUGGCCAGCAACCCCCAAUUUAUCAAGGUUGACCUCGGAUCAGGUAGGGAUACCCGCUGAACUUAAGCAUAUCAAUAAGCGGAGGA
This 329-nucleotide unclassified non-coding RNA is filed under the name soil metagenome. Its description in RNAcentral is "partial contains 5.8S ribosomal RNA, internal transcribed spacer 2, and large subunit ribosomal RNA". The stretch from base 1 to 120 matches the Rfam family "5.8S ribosomal RNA", at positions 35 to 154 of the family's 154-position model. The record is from RNAcentral.